AGGGCAGCAGCCGCGGCCUGGAGAUAAGCGCUAGCGCGGCGCGGGGCUCUGCUUGGGCUAGUGGCACCGACUUGGGAAAAGAAAACGCCGAGACAUAGAAAACCCAUGCUUUUCCAGUUGGAGGAACAGCGGAUCAACCCGGCUAAAGGAACUGAGCAGCCCAGCUGCCUGUGAUGUUCUACACAUUUGAAAUACAGCAACUUCCCCGUACCAAAGAAAGGCAAGCGGAUAGGAGAAACUGCAAGGUGGCGAGAAAAGUUUCCUCCAUGCAGAGCUGAGACUGAAGCCGAUCACCUAACUGAGUCUCCGCAGGCGCCACGAACAGUGGACAAGGAGAGCAGCCCACGCGGCGGCGGCUGCGACGGUGGCCUCGACUUGCUUUUGCCCUGCUGUUCCGUGUGGCGGUUUGUCUAGGGCUUGCGGGAAGAAACAAACACACCCUUCUGAUACCCUCCUUCCCCCUACAGUACACACAUCUUUGGUCUCUGCAGCCGCCCCUCCCUCAGGACGCUGGCUUUGGGGCAGACUCUUUUGUUUGCCCGAAGCCCCGAAGCCCCGAAGCCCCGCAUUCAUAGGACAUACAGCUGAGAGGAACCAGCUCCCAAACUCCUCCGAAGUUAAACAUUGACCGCACUUCUUUCAAAGGGCAAAGGGAUGCGGCUGCCAGGGAAAGUAAACUCACAAAGGCCCGGGCGCAAAGCCUGGCGCAGUGAAGAGUUUUGGUGCAGCGCUUACCUCGAAAGAUGUCGAAGACUGAACCAGAGAGUGUCUCCAGCUCUGGGAGCUCAGGGAACCGCUGUUUCCGGUGUCCAGGCACUCUGCGGACAAAUAAACAGCAGAGGGUGAACGGUGGCUGCGGAGGAGGAAGGGAGUUGGAGGAUCGGAGUCGGAGGCGCGGGCAGCGCGGGCGCCAAGGUGGCCCCCAGGGUGACGCGGACACGGAGGAGUCGCCAGGGCACUCGUCCAUGAGGCGCACUCAUUGCUCGAAAGGUUCCAGUCUACAAAUGGCCUGAAGAUGGUGAUUUAUUUUUGUAAAAUAAAUACGUACUCCAUCUCCGCA
Vicugna pacos (alpaca) is the source of this 1060-nucleotide non-coding RNA. The record is from RefSeq and is a predicted model, not a curated record. Lineage: Eukaryota; Metazoa; Chordata; Mammalia; Artiodactyla; Camelidae.